RNAcentral lists this ribosomal RNA (253 nucleotides) under uncultured bacterium. RNAcentral's name for it is "partial 16S ribosomal RNA". It matches the Rfam family "Bacterial small subunit ribosomal RNA", at positions 524 to 776 of the family's 1533-position model. The record is from RNAcentral.
UACGUAGGUGGCAAGCGUUGUCCGGAAUUAUUGGGCGUAGAGCGCGCGCAGGUGGUCUUUUAAGUCUGAUGUGAAAGCCCCCGGCUCAACCGUGGAGGGUCAUUGGAAACUGGAAAACUUGAGUGCAGAAGAGGAAAGUGGAAUUCCAUGUGUAGCGGUGAAAUGCGCAGAGAUAUGGAGGAACACCAGUGGCGAAGGCGACUUUCUGGGCUGUAACUGACGCUGAUGUGCGAAAGCGUGGGGAUCCAACAGG